AAGCCCUUCGGGGUGGAUUAGUGGCGAACGGGUGAGUAACACGUGGGCAAUCUGCCCUGCACUCUGGGACAAGCCCUGGAAACGGGGUCUAAUACCGGAUACGAGCCUCCCGGGCAUCUGGGAGGUUGGAAAGCUCCGGCGGUGCAGGAUGAGCCCGCGGCCUAUCAGCUUGUUGGUGAGGUAACGGCUCACCAAGGCGACGACGGGUAGCCGGCCUGAGAGGGCGACCGGCCACACUGGGACUGAGACACGGCCCAGACUCCUACGGGAGGCAGCAGUGGGGAAUAUUGCACAAUGGGCGAAAGCCUGAUGCAGCGACGCCGCGUGAGGGAUGACGGCCUUCGGGUUGUAAACCUCUUUCAGCAGGGAAGAAGCGAAAGUGACGGUACCUGCAGAAGAAGCGCCGGCUAACUACGUGCCAGCAGCCGCGGUAAUACGUAGGGCGCAAGCGUUGUCCGGAAUUAUUGGGCGUAAAGAGCUCGUAGGCGGCUUGUCGCGUCGAUUGUGAAAGCCCGGGGCUUAACUCCGGGUCUGCAGUCGAUACGGGCAGGCUAGAGUGUGGUAGGGGAGAUCGGAAUUCCUGGUGUAGCGGUGAAAUGCGCAGAUAUCAGGAGGAACACCGGUGGCGAAGGCGGAUCUCUGGGCCAUUACUGACGCUGAGGAGCGAAAGCGUGGGGAGCGAACAGGAUUAGAUACCCUGGUAGUCCACGCCGUAAACGGUGGGCACUAGGUGUUGGC
RNAcentral lists this ribosomal RNA (738 nucleotides) under Streptomyces sp. YIM 61440. RNAcentral's name for it is "bacterial SSU rRNA". It matches the Rfam family "Bacterial small subunit ribosomal RNA", at positions 73 to 827 of the family's 1533-position model. The record is from RNAcentral. Lineage: Bacteria; Bacillati; Actinomycetota; Actinomycetes; Kitasatosporales; Streptomycetaceae.